RNAcentral lists this ribosomal RNA (428 nucleotides) under uncultured prokaryote. Its description in RNAcentral is "bacterial SSU rRNA". It matches the Rfam family "Bacterial small subunit ribosomal RNA", at positions 355 to 774 of the family's 1533-position model. The record is from RNAcentral.
UGGGGAAUAUUGGGCAAUGGGCGAAAGCCUGACCCAGCGACGCCGCGUGGGUGAUGAAGGCCUUCGGGUCGUAAAGCCCUUUCGUGUGGAAAGAACCGCUCACGGGCUAAUAUCUCGUGAGCCUGACGGUACCACAGGAAGAAGCACCGGCUAACUCCGUGCCAGCAGCCGCGGUAAUACGGAGGGUGCAAGCGUUGUUCGGAAUUACUGGGCGUAAAGGACGCGUAGGCGGUAAUGUAAGUCAGGUGUGAAAUCCUCCGGCUCAACCGGAGAACUGCAGUUGAAACUGCAUAACUAGAGUACAGGAGAGGGAAACGGAAUUCCCGGUGUAGAGGUGAAAGUCGUAGAUAUCGGGAGGAACACCAGUGGCGAAGGCGGUUUCCUGGCCUGAUACUGACGCUGAGGCGUGAAAGCGUGGGGAGCAAACA